CAAGAACCCAUUCUCUCCCUCACCGCCUCCACUCUUCUGAAAGAUUAAUCAAAUCCCUUUCUCUCUCCUCUUCUUCUCUCUCUAGAACCAGCCAAAAUCUCUCUGUUUCUAGUUUGAAUUGCUGUGAUUAGACUGUGUUUUUCGUUUGUUUUUUCAUAAAUUUCAAACUGGCGAUCGAGAACCACGAUACGACUGUUCGUGAAAUCAAGCCCAAGAGCAGAAGAAUCAUGGGUCCUGACGAUGAAGACAACCGAUGGCCGCCAUGGCUAAAACCUCUACUAAGAGAAAGCUUCUUCGUUCAAUGCAAGCACCACAUAGAUUCCCACAAAAGUGAAUGCAAUAUGUACUGUUUAGAUUGUAUGAACGGCGCUCUCUGUUCUCUUUGCCUCAACUUUCACAAAGAUCAUCGCGCCAUUCAGAUUCGUAGGUCUUCUUACCAUGAUGUUAUCAGAGUUUCUGAGAUUCAAAAAGUUUUGGACAUUUCUGGCGUCCAAACUUACAUAAUCAACAGCGCUAGAGUCGUGUUCUUGAAUGAAAGGCCUCAGCCUCGGCCUGGCAAAGGCGUUACAAAUACUUGUGAAGUCUGUGAACGCAGCCUCCUCGAUUCCUUCCGAUUUUGCUCCCUUGGUUGCAAGAUUGUCGGAACCUCAAGGAGUUUCCAGAAGAAGAGGGUGGCAGCGGCAGCAACCGCAAUGGCAACCUCCGACUCGGAGGAUUCUUAUAGCAGCAGCAGCAACCAUAAGCGAAGCAAGAGCAACAACAGCAAUAACAAUAGCAAUAAUAAGGUUCAAAGUUUUAGUCCUUCAACACCGCCCCCGACGUCGGUUAAUUACAGGACGGCGAAGCGGAGGAAGGGGAUUCCUCAUCGAGCUCCGAUGGGAGGUCUAGUUUUAGAAUAUUAGGCCUGUGUUUUCACUUAAUUAUCAUAAGACCCUUGAAAUGUAAUGUAAUUUCCACGUUGCUCUUCCCUCCAAUGCCUUGAGCUUUGUAAAAGAGGCCGGUGUUGGAGGUCUUACUUUUAGCUUUGUACAUAGAAGAAGCAUAGAUGUGGGGUAAGAAAAAAAAUAAUAAUAAGCCAAAUGUGAAAAAAUGGUGAACCUUAGAGGACUAAAAGGAAAAAUAAGUUUGGUAGGUUUGAGUAAUUUUAUAAAUAGGUUGGGGUUAUAGUGAAAUUAUACUAAGUUUUGGGUCGAAGUUGUAAAUAGUGGGUGGGAAUUUUCUCUUUUUUUAUGCUUCUUAGAAGUGGUGAUGAAGAUACAAUGCCUUGGAAUAAUGGAAUUUGGAGAAUGG
This 1290-nucleotide unclassified non-coding RNA is filed under the name Hevea brasiliensis (rubber tree). The record is from RNAcentral. Lineage: Eukaryota; Viridiplantae; Streptophyta; Magnoliopsida; Malpighiales; Euphorbiaceae.